Drosophila navojoa is the source of this 103-nucleotide long non-coding RNA. Lineage: Eukaryota; Metazoa; Arthropoda; Insecta; Diptera; Drosophilidae. The record is from RefSeq and is a predicted model, not a curated record.
AUGUGUAUAUGAAAAUAUGUAUGCAAUUUGUUUCAUUAAUGAUAUGUUUCUAUCAAAAGUGCAAGUGUUAUUUCCCCUCCUGCUCGACACAUUCACCCACAGA